AACGCACCUUGCGCUCCUUGGUAUUCCGAGGAGCAUGCCCGUUUGAGUGUCGCGAUGCCCUCGAGGCCGGCCGCCCCUGUGGCGUCCUGGACUUGGACUUUGGAUGUGCUGCCGGACGGCGACGACCGGCUCAUCCCAAACGCAUUAGCCAGACCUUUUUCGGGGCCUUCUUUCGGUUCUCACUCGGCGUGAUAAGAUCGCCCGUCGAGGACGAGAGGGGUGCCCCCGGCAGGACCGGCUUCCAAACCGCGUGUUCUUGCGCACUUUGACCGUCUGACCUCAAAUCGGGUAGGACUACCCGCUGAACUUAA
RNAcentral lists this ribosomal RNA (311 nucleotides) under uncultured fungus. RNAcentral's name for it is "eukaryotic LSU rRNA". The record is from RNAcentral. Lineage: Eukaryota; Fungi.